Molecule: ribosomal RNA, 492 nt
Filed under: uncultured bacterium
Lineage: Bacteria
Description: partial 16S ribosomal RNA
Rfam family: Bacterial small subunit ribosomal RNA
Source: RNAcentral
AGUGAACGCUGGCGGUAGGCCUAACACAUGCAAGUCGAACGGCAGCACAGUAAGAGCUUGCUCUUACGGGUGGCGAGUGGCGGACGGGUGAGGAAUACAUCGGAAUCUACUUUUUCGUGGGGGAUAACGUAGGGAAACUUACGCUAAUACCGCAUACGACCUACGGGUGAAAGCAUGGGAUCUUCGGACCUUGCGCGAUUGAAUGAGCCGAUGUCGGAUUAGCUAGUUGGCGGGGUAAAGGCCCACCAAGGCGACGAUCCGUAGCUGGUCUGAGAGGAUGAUCAGCCACACUGGAACUGAGACACGGUCCAGACUCCUACGGGAGGCAGCAGUGGGGAAUAUUGGACAAUGGGCGCAAGCCUGAUCCAGCCAUACCGCGUGGGUGAAGAAGGCCUUCGGGUUGUAAAGCCCUUUUGUUGGGAAAGAAAAGCAGCAGGUUAAUACCCCGCUGUUCUGACGGUACCAAAAGAAUAGGCACCGGCUAACUUCGUG